This 459-nucleotide ribosomal RNA is filed under the name Capnocytophaga granulosa. RNAcentral describes it as "bacterial SSU rRNA". It matches the Rfam family "Bacterial small subunit ribosomal RNA", at positions 28 to 488 of the family's 1533-position model. Lineage: Bacteria; Pseudomonadati; Bacteroidota; Flavobacteriia; Flavobacteriales; Flavobacteriaceae. The record is from RNAcentral.
GAUGAACGCUAGCGGCAGGCCUAACACAUGCAAGUCGAGGGAGAAGCCUUUCGGGGCAGAAACCGGCGCACGGGUGCGUAACGCGUAUGCAACCUACCUUUCACAGGGGGAUAGCCCGAAGAAAUUUGGAUUAAUACCCCAUAAUAUUGUUGGAUGGCAUCAUCUGAUAAUUAAAACUGUGGUGGUGAAAGAUGGGCAUGCGUCCUAUUAGCUAGUUGGAGUGGUAACGGCACCCCAAGGCUAUGAUAGGUAGGGGUCCUGAGAGGGAGAUCCCCCACACUGGUACUGAGACAGGGACCAGACUCCUACGGGAGGCAGCAGUGAGGAAUAUUGGUCAAUGGUCGGAAGACUGAACCAGCCAUGCCGCGUGCAGGAAGAAUGCCUUAUGGGUUGUAAACUGCUUUUAUAUGGGAAGAAUAAGGUGUAACGUGUAACAUUGAUGACGGUACCAUAUGAAUA